RNAcentral lists this ribosomal RNA (497 nucleotides) under uncultured bacterium. RNAcentral's name for it is "partial 16S ribosomal RNA". It matches the Rfam family "Bacterial small subunit ribosomal RNA", at positions 28 to 507 of the family's 1533-position model. The record is from RNAcentral.
GAUGAACGCUGGCGGCGUGCCUAAUACAUGCAAGUCGAGCGAACAGACGAGGAGCUUGCUCCUUUGACGUUAGCGGCGGACGGGUGAGUAACACGUAGGUAACCUACCUAUAAGACUGGGAUAACUUCGGGAAACCGGAGCUAAUACCGGAUAAUAUUUCGAACCGCAUGGUUCGAUAGUGAAAGAUGGCUUUGCUAUCACUUAUAGAUGGACCUGCGCCGUAUUAGCUAGUUGGUAAGGUAACGGCUUACCAAGGCAACGAUACGUAGCCGACCUGAGAGGGUGAUCGGCCACACUGGAACUGAGACACGGGCCAGACUCCUACGGGAGGCAGCAGUAGGGAAUCUUCCGCAAUGGGCGAAAGCCUGACGGAGCAACGCCGCGUGAGUGAUGAAGGUCUUCGGAUCGUAAAACUCUGUUAUUAGGGAAGAACAAACGUGUAAGUAACUGUGCACGUCUUGACGGUACCUAAACAGAAAGCCACGGCUAACUACGUG